This 484-nucleotide long non-coding RNA is filed under the name Mytilus galloprovincialis (Mediterranean mussel). The record is from RNAcentral. Lineage: Eukaryota; Metazoa; Mollusca; Bivalvia; Mytilida; Mytilidae.
AGCUCACACAUAUCAUUACUCUACCCCUUGCAAAGUUAGUAAGUUGCAAAAGUAUAUUAUAUGAUUCAGAAUCUGGGUAAGCAAGGAUUUGUAUAGUAAGACUUUACAAAUCCUUGGUGAAAGUUAUAAAUAUUUCAGUUAAGUAAUUCAGGGGCAGUCAUGGACACAAAAAUGAAACAGAAGGAGAAAUGGACUGACGAACCAACUCCUUAUCACUGUUAACCGCCAUUUUAAAAAGAGGGGCUACUUAUAUUAUAAUAAGAUUUUUACCUUUUUAUUAUUUUGUAGUAAUGUGGUCAUGGUUAAUAGUGGCAAAGAUAAUUUCAUAAUAGCUAAAAGAACAAAAUUUCUAAGGUUGAGCUGCACUGUGUGGUCUAAAUUGACAUUGUUGUUUUAGCAUCUAAUAAGAAUAAAUAACUGUUCAAGAGACAACCAACAAAUUGUUAUCAAAUAGGUUGUAGUAAAGGUUUGUGUUUAUAUUGCU